UUCUAUUCCUUCAACUCCCUCUAGAGCAGGGACUCUUACUGUUUUGUAUUCUUUUAUUUUGUAAAGACUUUAUAUAAAAUUAAAAAAAAAGAUUUAUUUUGUAAAAGCAUUCUGGCAAAGCUUAUAGCAUCCUCCUCAGAAGAAUGUUUUUUAAAAGCAUAAAAUACAUCAGACUGCAAAGGAAACCAAUGACUAUUGAAUGUAAAGAUGUCACAUUUUUUCAUCUCCAAGUUCAUAGAUCCGUCUGAAACCUAUCCAGCAACCCCUAGCACAGAGCUGUGUUCCUGGGGACCAGGACGGCCACUCGCACCUUCUUGGAGCAUCCCCUAGAGGGCAGUGUCACCCAACGAUUAGCUUCCCUUUUGCAUUACUGACUUGAAUUCUCUUAUUCUGACGGUGGAUGGUCUUUAGUUCAAUCUGGGGCUCUUUCUGACCUGCUGCUGGAGGAGAAGAUGGAGCUGGGCUCAAACCCACCCCGGGAGCAAAAGGCGAUCCUUUCCCUGGUAGUUAAAGAGGCAGACAGACAAGGGGCCAAUCACAGCUUCUAAAUUGCCUAGCACUGCCCAGAGGGCAGUGUCCGUGGGAUCCACCUCUCAUCAUCUGAGGGUGUAAACUCAUCAAAGGUUUCACAAGUUUCUGACUGAUUGAGUUAAAAGAGUGGAGCUCUUCAAGUAAUAUUGCUGAAGUUACUAGACAAAGGAGAAGAGGAUGGAAAGGGAAGUGGCAGAGGAGGAGGACACCAAGAAGAAGGAAAUGAUCAUUUUAUUCAUUGUAAUAAUCCCUUAUAUAUGUGUACCAAAUAUCCUAGUACAGUUUUAAACUUUAAUAACUUAAAAGUGCACUAAGACAUUUGGGACAUACUGUAUUAAAGAUGUUACAAAGCAUUUUCAGAUAUAGUAUUUCCUGGGGUUCUCAAAGCAACCUUGUGAAGUAGGUAGUAGAACUAUGAUUAGCUUCCAUUUUAUAGAUGAGAAAACUGAUUCAGAAGGGAUAAGUAAUAACAGCCAGCAUUUAUAUAAUACCUUAAAGUGUGUGAAGCACUUUACAAAUAUUCUUGUAUUCUAUUCUCCUAAUAACACCAGGAGGGAGGUGUUAUUAUUAUUCCCAUUUUUCAGAUGGAGAAAUUAAGGCAGGCAGAGGUUAAGCAACUUGCCUAGGAUGACACACCUAGUAAGUGUGUGAGACCACUUUUGAACUCAGGUUCUCUGGAUUCCAGGUUCCCCUGAGUCACCUAGUUACCCUAAGCAACUUGCCCCAAACUAGAGCUAGUAAUGGGUAGGUCAAAACUUGAACUUAGGUACAGGAAUCCAAGACAAUUCCAUUGUGCUGUUAAUGACUGACUGACAGAUUGGAGGAUCUUUUUUUUUUUGUGAAUAAUUGGGAAAGAUAACCUCAUCUGUGUGACCCUGGGCAAGUUCAUAACCCCUAUUGCCUCAUCCUUGCCACUCUUUUGUCAUAGAAUUAGUAGUAACCAUCCCCCAUGGGGGAAAUGGGCAAAAGAUAUGAACUUUUUGGAAGAAAUUAAAGCUAGCUGGCAUGAUUCAGAUCAGGGUUACAAAGGCAGAUGAGGAUUAGAAAAGAUGAGUCUUUCCAGACCUUGUUGUGCUGGAUUUUCUUUCUUUCCUUUCUUUAAAACUCUUACCUUCUAUCUUAGAAUCAACACUAUGUAUUGGUUCCAAAGCAGAAGAGUGGUAACAGCUAGGUGAUGGGGAAAGGGGCAUGGCAAACAGCUAAGAAGUGUCUGAGGCCAUAUUUGAAUCCAGGACUUCCUGUCUCCAUACCUGGCUCUCUAUCCACUGAGCAACACAACUGCCCCCUCUGUUCUGGAUUUUCAAAGUUAUUCUUCCCAUCACUCCUUGGAGAUGGAUCUGUAAAUCUGGACUGGAUUCUGAGGCUCAAAGUCCAACAUUUGGGUGAAGGAUGUAACCGUGAAAAUAUGCGUUUGCCAAGACUGUGAAUUGCCAAAACUGUAAAGAUAAUUUUUAGUGUCUUGAUUUAUAUUAAAAAUAAGUGGUCACCAUGGGAAAAUUCCCCAAUAUGAAAAUACCCAAGUCAGCUGGGUUUUAUGGAGAUUUUAAUGAAUACAAAUGAAGGAAUUUAAGGGAAGGGAGAGAGAGAGAGAAAGAGAAAAAUAGUAGGAAAGGCCUAGGCCAAAUGGCCUAGGCCUGAACCUUAAGAGAGAUUAGUCAGUCUUUAUCACUCACCACAAGAUCAUUCCAAGCAAGCGCUAGUGUUCAGAGAGACCCUCCAAUUCAGCUUCCAAACUGAACUCAAAUUGUAACUGAAUUCAAUUGCCUUGAACAUGUUCCUUCACUUCCUUUUAAAGAGAUUUUUUUCUUAUGUCACCUCCCCUAAAUUUUCACGUCUACCAAUCACAGUAGAUGCUUUUUCCUAGAACUUCCCAUUCUAAGUUCACACCAUUCUUUAGUUCUCUCUGGGUAGACUAAAACUUCACACCUCUUUUAUUAAGCUUGCCUUUUGUAAGUUGCUUGACCUUUUAGUGAUUAAUUUAACCUUUAUAGGUAUUUAGCACCCUUUUGUAUUAGAUUUAAAAAUAGACCACCUAGUUUAGGGUUUUUGCUUCACUAUAAGUAUGAGUUGGGGACUUUUCAUUGUUCAGUAAGGAGUUUACAACUUUAUCUUCCCCUAAGGAACUGUCUGAGCAGGGUGGAGUAAUUUUAAAAGUUCUCAAUACAUUCCUGACUAAGUACCUCCAUUGUAGAGAAUGGGGAAUAGCUUAAUCAAAUCUUCUAAGGUAUAGUCUGAGCAAUUUUAAGAUUCACAAGGAUGAAAAAAGUCCUAGAUUUCCAGGAAGUGGUAGUCGGAUGGGAGAGGCAAGUUGUUUGUUGUUUGUUCCUGGGGAGAUCCCAGUCUGGUGAGGAGAACUAACAGGGAACUCCCAGGCUCACUGAGAAAGCAGUCUCUGCCUUCAAGGAACUCUGAAUGUGAUGUCAUAGCAUGGACAUGCAUGAAAUUAACAAAAAUAUAGUCUGAUUAAAAUGCUAUAAUGAUUAGGGGGAGCUUGGACCCAAAUAACUUUAAAAAUUUCCUUGGGUCUGAAAUAUAUAUAUAUAUAUAUACAUAUGAUAAAAAUAAGCUCCGAAUUAAGUAAUCCACAGGCAAAUACUUAAAGAACUAUAUAAUUAUGUUUUCUGCUAUAAUCUUUUGAUUUUCCCUUUCAUUUUGGUCUAUCCUGCUUUUCAUGGCUUCCAGCUGUUUGAUUUUGGUCUCUAAUUUAUUUAUCAUUUCAUUAGCUUUCUGGGCUUCUUUCUCCAAUUGGGAGUUCCUGUCUUUUAAACUGUUAGUUUCUUUUUGAACUAUUUCCCACUUUUCUUGCCAAUAUUUUUCCAUCUUUUUGAUAAACUUGUGGACAAUUUCCAUUUUUUUGAAGGUUUGGAUGCAUUUAUUUGUAUGUUCUCUUCUGCUAUUUCCUCUGUGGUCUGUAUUUUACCUCCAUAAAAAUUAUCCAGGGUCAAGUCUUGUUUUUCUUGGUGUUGGGAAGCUGUUCCUGGGCACUGUUUGCCAUCACCUUGGUGGUUUUCCCUUCUCUUUCCAGUCAAAAGUCUGAGUGAGGAGGUCAGGCUCUCUGUGUGUGGAGCUAAGGAGUAUGAUUUUUGCCUGAGGCCACCUCUCAAGUCUCUGCAGCUUCUGUUUGCAGCCCUUCUCUGCACUAUCUCCUCGUCCAAGGUCUGCGCUCUUCUGCCUGUUGGGGCCUCAAGUCUAGCUGCUCUCAGGGGAAGGUCUUUGGUAGUCUUAUUCAGCUGCCAAGGAUCUAGAGGUGCUCCUCACUGUCUCUGAGUCUAGCGCACUGGCUCCGUAGGUGGGGUGGGGGAGGGUAGAUCAGUUCGCAUUUUGGUGGAAGCUAUCUCACCCCCUUAUAGAUUGGAAAUGCCCAAAUCCCACAUACCUUCAAUGCUGUGCCAAACUGUGGAGUCCCUUCGUUCAUAUGAAUGUGGGUUUUUUUUUUGCCUUUUAAGAUAGUCUAUAUUGGUAGGUGCUGAGGAGAAGAGUCCUGGGUCUAAACUGCAGCCAUGUUUACCUGGAAGUCCAGGACUGUAUAAUUAUAAAAAUGCAUUGAGGAGAAAAGGGGAAAGAGGAUCUAGGAUCAUGCCAGAUGUUUCAAGAUCAUAAUUCAAUUCAAUACUUGUUUGAGUGGCUACUUACUAGAUACUCAACACUAGGUUAGGAACUGUGAUUGGGAAACAUUUCCUGGAGGUGGUGGCAUCCCAGGAAGGAUAAAUUGGAGUGGUGUUAGAUGGGAGGAAGUCACCUAUAGAUUAUCCUGGGCACAGGCUUGUGGAUAGAAAAGGGAGGAUUGGUAUGGGAGUGAGGUGGCCAUGAAGACAUGUAGGGCCAUCUCUAAGUAGAGGCAGAAGA
Monodelphis domestica (gray short-tailed opossum) is the source of this 4377-nucleotide long non-coding RNA. RefSeq lists it as uncharacterized. The record is from RefSeq and is a predicted model, not a curated record. Lineage: Eukaryota; Metazoa; Chordata; Mammalia; Didelphimorphia; Didelphidae.